AUUGAACGCUGGCGGCAUGCCUUACACAUGCAAGUCGAACGGCAGCACGGGUGCUUGCACCUGGUGGCGAGUGGCGAACGGGUGAGUAAUACAUCGGAACAUGUCCUGUAGUGGGGGAUAGCCCGGCGAAAGCCGGAUUAAUACCGCAUACGAUCUACGGAUGAAAGCGGGGGACCUUCGGGCCUCGCGCUAUAGGGUUGGCCGAUGGCUGAUUAGCUAGUUGGUGGGGUAAAGGCCUACCAAGGCGACGAUCAGUAGCUGGUCUGAGAGGACGACCAGCCACACUGGGACUGAGACACGGCCCAGACUCCUACGGGAGGCAGCAGUGGGGAAUUUUGGACAAUGGGCGAAAGCCUGAUCCAGCAAUGCUGCGUGUGUGAAGAAGGCCUUCGGGUUGUAAAGCACUUUUGUCCGGAAAGAAAUCCUUGGCCCUAAUACGGUCGGGGGAUGACGGUACCGGAAGAAUAGGCACCGGCUAACUACGUG
This 486-nucleotide ribosomal RNA is filed under the name uncultured bacterium. Its description in RNAcentral is "partial 16S ribosomal RNA". It matches the Rfam family "Bacterial small subunit ribosomal RNA", at positions 30 to 507 of the family's 1533-position model. The record is from RNAcentral.